GUUUCAGCAGCCGCGGUAAUACGUAGGGGGCAAGCGUUGUCCGGAAUCAUUGGGCGUAAAGCGCGCGUAGGCGGCCCGGUAAGUCCGUUGUAAAAGUCGAAGGCUCAACCUUCGAAAGCCGAUGGAUACUGCCGGGCUAGAGUCCGGAAGAGGCGAGUGGAAUUCCUGGUGUAGCGGUGGAAUGCGCAGAUAUCAGGAGGAACACCCAUAGCGAAGGCAGCUCGCUGGGACGGUACUGACGCUGAGGCGCGAAAGCGUGGGGAGCGAACAGGAUUAGAAACCCGAGUAGUCC
RNAcentral lists this ribosomal RNA (292 nucleotides) under uncultured bacterium. RNAcentral describes it as "partial 16S ribosomal RNA". It matches the Rfam family "Bacterial small subunit ribosomal RNA", at positions 505 to 796 of the family's 1533-position model. The record is from RNAcentral.